This is an RNA transcript of Oryzias latipes (Japanese medaka), 1486 nucleotides long. It is a transcript of the gene named tetraspanin 11, with no coding region annotated. NCBI's taxonomy places the organism in Eukaryota, Metazoa, Chordata, Actinopteri, Beloniformes, Adrianichthyidae. The record is from RefSeq and is a predicted model, not a curated record.
AAGCACCACCGCCGCAGACUGCUGGACACCCUGAAGGCAGCAGCAGCUCGGCUGGACGAAACGGCUGCCACUGCAGUGGUGUUCGCUGUUUCCCUAGGGAAAUUUCCUUUAAAAGCGGCUUGUUGUUCGUAAGAAACUUCGCUCUGAGCUGAGCUGAAGGAAGGAAGAUGUCGGCCCUUCACAAAGAUGAGCAGGGGGACUGGCAGACCGUGUGCCUCAAAUAUCUGCUUUUUAUUUUUAACUUUCUCUUUUGGAUGGGUGGAGCUGCUGUUUUGGGUGUAGGAGUCUGGACACUGGUGGAGAAGAGCGACUACUUAAGUCUGCUGGCUUCCAGCACCUUCGCCGUCUCUGCAUAUAUCCUCAUCCUGGCUGGAAGUCUGGUGGUGGUUACUGGCUUUUUGGGUUGCUGUGCCGUCAUCCGGGAGCGCAGAAGAUGUUUGUCUGUGUAUUUCUUCUUCCUUUUGGUUAUCUUCUUGAUUGAACUGGUGGCUGGAGUUCUGGCGUAUGUGUACUAUCAGAGGCUGAGUGAAGAGCUAAAGCAGCAUCUGAACCAAACCAUGUCAGAGAAUUAUGCUCAGCCUGGGAAGGAGGCCAUCACAGCAGCUGUAGACAGACUACAACAAGAUUUUAAAUGCUGUGGCAGCAACAACUCCCAGGAUUGGGCGCACAGCGUGUACAUCUCAUCAAUCGCGGCAGAGCAAAGAGUGGUCCCUGAUAGCUGCUGUAAGACUAUUACCCAUGCGUGUGGCAAGAGAGACCACCCCUCCAACAUCUACAAGGUGGAGGGUGGUUGCAUUACUAAGCUGGAACAGUUUCUAGCAGACCACUUGUUAGUCAUUGGUGCUGUGGGGAUCGGAGUGGCUUGUCUUCAGCUGGUCGGGGCAUUCUUGACAGCCUGCUUUAUAUAUCUGCUCUAUAAAGAAGAAGAGGAGGAGGAGGAGUUUGGUGCAUUGUAAUUUGGCUCUAGUGCAUCUUGGUGAUUUAAAUCAAUUGGAGAGACAAGCUUGGAGGAUCUGUGGGAUGGUGUUCACCUGCUGCUUGUACAGACGGAUCAAGAUUGACCCUUACUGAACACACCAGGAAACCAACACAGCGUUCAAAACAGAUGGAACACCCGUGACACGUCACUUAACUAUACUUCAAUUCUGAGCUGGUCACAGAGAAUACAGUCAGAAACAAACCCGGUGCAUGAGUAGCAAGGCCUUUCUUUUAUCAGAGUAAACUUGAAUAAGCUAACCAAGAGCGUUAUCUUUUUUUUUAAUCUAACUGCCUUGGCUUAAGUGCAUGCUUUAAUGUGGGCAAAAUCAUUAAAGUAAUAUUGCCUUCAAUACAUCACUACAAUGCAAAGAUAUAUUUAAUAGGUUGAAGGAGCUGAGAAAAGGCACUAAUAUGAAACACAUUGUGCCUCUGUCAUGGCUGCUGAUGUAUAGUCAAACUAAUCCUGUGCCUAAAACCUGCUGAAAUUACACUGUAAAAGAUUUAUAUU